RNAcentral lists this ribosomal RNA (463 nucleotides) under uncultured bacterium. RNAcentral describes it as "partial 16S ribosomal RNA". It matches the Rfam family "Bacterial small subunit ribosomal RNA", at positions 28 to 507 of the family's 1533-position model. The record is from RNAcentral.
GAUGAACGCUGACAGAAUGCUUAACACAUGCAAGUCUUUGGCGAAGCUGUGCUUGCACAGCCUAGCCAAGGCGGACGGGUGAGUAACGCGUAAGGAACUUGCCCUGCAGUCAGGGAUAACAGACGGAAACGACUGAUAAGACCUGGUAAAGUCAGGCGGACUCAUGUCCAGCCUGAUGAAAAGAGAUGCUGCAGGAGAGCCUUGCGUCCUAUUAGCUUGUUGGUGGGGUAACGGCCCACCAAGGCGAUGAUAGGUAGCCGGCCUGGGAGGGUGGGCGGCCAACAGGGGGACUAGGUACGGCCCCUAUCCCGACGGGGGGCCACCGGGGGGAAGAUUGGGACAGUGGGGCAACCCUGAUCCAGCAAUUCUGUGUGCACGAUGAAGGUUUUCGGAUUGUAAAGUGCUUUCAGCAGGGAAGAAAAAAAUGACGGUACCUGCAGAAGAAGCGACGGCUAAAUACGUG